RNAcentral lists this ribosomal RNA (379 nucleotides) under uncultured microorganism. RNAcentral describes it as "bacterial SSU rRNA". It matches the Rfam family "Archaeal small subunit ribosomal RNA", at positions 330 to 713 of the family's 1478-position model. The record is from RNAcentral.
GCGCACCAGUCGCGAAUACUCCGCAAUACACGAAAGUGUGACGGGGCCAUCCCGAGUGCCGUCCGCUGAGGACGGCUUUUCCCCAGUGUACACAGCUGGGGGAAUAAGGAGAGGGCAAGCCUGGUGUCAGCCGCCGCGGUAAUACCAGCUCUCCGAGUGGUGGGGACGCUUAUUGGGCCUAAAGCAUCCGUAGCCGGCUGGGCAAGUUCUCCGUUAAAUCCAACGAUUCAAUCGUUGGGCUGCGGGGAUACUGUCCAGCUUGGGGGCGGAGAGGCCGACGGUAUUCCCGGGGUAGGGUGAAAUCCUAUAAGUCCCGGGAGGACCACCAGUGGCGAAGGCUGUCGGCUAGAACGCGCCCGACGGUGAGGGAUGAAAGCGU